This 64-nucleotide transfer RNA is filed under the name Macrolenostreptus orestes. RNAcentral describes it as "tRNA-Pro". Lineage: Eukaryota; Metazoa; Arthropoda; Diplopoda; Spirostreptida; Spirostreptidae. The record is from RNAcentral.
CAAAAAAUAGUUUAAUUUAAAAUUAUAGCUUUGGAAGUUAUAGAUGAGAAAAUUUCUUUUUUGA